This 494-nucleotide ribosomal RNA is filed under the name uncultured bacterium. RNAcentral describes it as "partial 16S ribosomal RNA". It matches the Rfam family "Bacterial small subunit ribosomal RNA", at positions 28 to 507 of the family's 1533-position model. The record is from RNAcentral.
GACGAACGCUGGCGGCGUGCUUAACACAUGCAAGUCGAACGGAAAGGCCUGCUUUCCCUUGUGGAUUGCGGGUACUCGAGUGGCGAACGGGUGAGUAACACGUGAGUGAUCUGCCCCCAACUUGGGUAUAAGCCUGGGAAACUGGGUCUAAUUCCCGAUAGGACUGCAGGGUGGUGCCUGUGGUGGAAAACGAUUUUCUAGUGGUUGGGGAUGAGCUCGCGGCCUAUCAGCUUGUUGGUGGGGUAAUGGCCUACCAAGGCGGCGACGGGUAGCCGGCCUGAGAGGGUGGACGGCCACAUUGGGACUGAGAUACGGCCCAGACUCCUACGGGAGGCAGCAGUGGGGAAUAUUGCACAAUGGGCGGAAGCCUGAUGCAGCGACGCCGCGUGGGGGAUGACGGGCUUCGGGUUGUAAACUCCUUUCGACCGCGAGGAAGCCACCUGGUUGGAAGGGUGGUGACGGUAGUGGUAGAAGAAGCACCGGCUAACUACGUG